AUGACGAUGAGUCCGGCGCGCAGUUUGUCUUCGGUAUUGGAAGGCGGGUUAAAUCUCCGAAUACUCCAAAGUACCUAUUGUAACGAACAGUGUCCGGCUUCCCAUCAAUGUUGUACUCCUUGGCCUCUGUGCUUCAAUAAUGGCCAUCUCCACAUGUUGAUCGAAUACGAGGAGGCGAGGUAUUUUUGCAUUUGCCCCCCGGCCCCGCAGGCAAACCGUCUAUAUGAAGGGACGGGGAUCCUCAGAUCCAAACCUCACCUCCUUCCCUUGAGCAAGCAUCCAACAGAGCGCUCCGGAAAAAACCAUUCCGACAUGGUCGGUCGCCGCAGCUCUUCUUACCGUUCUCUUCGCUCCAAGCCAGGUGACUGGGAAGAGUGUUCAGUCCCUCAAAGCCAUUUGAUAGAGUUGCAGACCCAAAGGUUUCUUCCACCGGCGUUCAUGGUCCCCGUCCGAGCUGGACUAGCCACCUAUAAUGGCGGGGAGCAAGCGGAGAGAUCUCCUAAUCCAUCCCCGGGGGAGCGAAUAUGCCUCAUCCCACAUCUGCUAAGAGGCGUCGGGUUUCCAAUCCACCCAUUCCUUCGCGGGCUCCUGGAGUUCUAUGGCCUCCAGUUGCACAACUUCACCCCUGCCUCCGUGCUGCACAUAGCAGGAUACGCUUCCCUUUGUGAACUACUUCUGGGCUGCGAGGCUCACUUCGGGCUAUGGAAGAAGUUGUUCUGCCUCGUCCCUCGCAACCAGGGGGAAUCCAUAUGUCAGAUGGGCAGAGCCGAAGUAUGGCGCGUCGCCGAGACCGGAUACCUGUCCGGUACUCCCAAGAAGGCACCUGAAAACUGGCCCUCAGAGUGGUUUUAUGUUGAUGAUGUUCCCCUUCCGGAUCUAGUCCGGACGGGUCUCCCUGAGUUCAGUAAUGCUCCACCGAAGGCACGCCAAUGUUGGCGCCCUCAGGGCCCCCAAGAGGAGGAUACCAGGGAAGUACAUUUCCUGAUGAGCAGGAUAAAGAUACUGGCCAAAUCAGGGCUGACAAUAGUCGAAGUUAUGGCAAUAUGCAUAAUGCGGGGAGUGCAACCGCUUAAAUAUCGGGGGAAGCCCAUGUGGCAUUACAACGGGGAAGAUGAUGCCACCCGUUGUGGUCGUAAAGGUCCAGACUCCGCCACUGCUCUGGCGAGGAUACUGUUCGAUUUGUACAAAGGGGAAGAAGAAGAAUUCCUUCAUAUUAAACCGCAGGAUGGAUUUUCCAUGUACAACCCCCCAAGCUGGGUAAGUCGUCACUUUUUCCCUCCGCUCCAUUCCUUCUGGCAUCCUUUGUCAUGA
RNAcentral lists this ribosomal RNA (1311 nucleotides) under Triticum aestivum (bread wheat). RNAcentral describes it as "partial small subunit ribosomal RNA". The record is from RNAcentral. Lineage: Eukaryota; Viridiplantae; Streptophyta; Magnoliopsida; Poales; Poaceae.